GCUGGCGGCAGGCCUAACACAUGCAAGUCGAGCGGUAACAUUUCUAGCUUGCUAGAAGAUGACGAGCGGCGGACGGGUGAGUAACGCGUAGAAAUCUACCUAGUAGUGGGGGAUAGCCCAGAGAAAUUUGGAUUAAUACCGCAUACGCCCUACGGGGGAAAGCGGGGGAUCUUCGGACCUCGUGCUAUUAGAUGAGUCUGCGUCGGAUUAGCUUGUUGGUGAGGUAAUGGCUCACCAAGGCGACGAUCCGUAGCUGGUCUGAGAGGAUGACCAGCCACACUGGAACUGAGACACGGUCCAGACUCCUACGGGAGGCAGCGGUGGGGAAUAUUGCACAAUGGGCGCAAGCCUGAUGCAGCCAUGCCGCGUGUGUGAAGAAGGCCUUAGGGUUGUAAAGCACUUUCAGCAGUGAGGAAAGGGGUGUCGUUAAUAGCGCCAUCCUGUGACGUUAACUGCAGAAGAAGGACCGGCUAACUCCGUG
Molecule: ribosomal RNA, 481 nt
Filed under: uncultured bacterium
Lineage: Bacteria
Description: bacterial SSU rRNA
Rfam family: Bacterial small subunit ribosomal RNA
Source: RNAcentral